RNAcentral lists this ribosomal RNA (253 nucleotides) under uncultured bacterium. RNAcentral describes it as "partial 16S ribosomal RNA". It matches the Rfam family "Bacterial small subunit ribosomal RNA", at positions 524 to 776 of the family's 1533-position model. The record is from RNAcentral.
UACGGGGGGGGCAAGCGUUGUUCGGAAUUACUGGGCGUAAAGGGCUCGUAGGCGGCCAACUAAGUCGGAUGUGAAAUCCCCAGGCUCAACCUGGGAACUGCAUCCGAUACUGGAUGGCUUGAAUUCGGGAGAGGGAUGCAGAAUUCCAGGUGUAGCGGUGAAAUGCGUAGAUAUCUGGAGGAACACCGGUGGCGAAGGCGGCAUUCUGGACCGAUAUUGACGCUGAGGAGCGAAAGCCAGGGGAGCAAACGGG